UGGGGAAUUUUGGACAAUGGGCGCAAGCCUGAUCCAGCCAUGCCGCGUGCGGGAAGAAGGCCUUCGGGUUGUAAACCGCUUUUGUCAGGGAAGAAAUCUUCUGAGUUAAUACCUCGGGAGGAUGACGGUACCUGAAGAAUAAGCACCGGCUAACUACGUGCCAGCAGCCGCGGUAAUACGUAGGGUGCAAGCGUUAAUCGGAAUUACUGGGCGUAAAGCGUGCGCAGGCGGUUUUGUAAGACAGAGGUGAAAUCCCCGAGCUCAACCUGGGAACUGCCUUUGUGACUGCAAGGCUUGAGUGCGGCAGAGGGGGGAUGGAAUUCCGCGUGUAGCAGUGAAAUGCGUAGAUAUGCGGAGGAACACCGAUGGCGAAGGCAAUCCCCUGGGGCCUGCACUGACGCUCAUGCACGAAAGCGUGGGGAGCAAACAGGAUUAGAUACCCUGGUAGUCCACGCCCUAAACGAUGUCAACUGGUUGUUGGGAAGGUUCCUUCUCAGUAACGUAGCUAACGCGUGAA
This 517-nucleotide ribosomal RNA is filed under the name uncultured bacterium. RNAcentral describes it as "partial 16S ribosomal RNA". It matches the Rfam family "Bacterial small subunit ribosomal RNA", at positions 355 to 863 of the family's 1533-position model. The record is from RNAcentral.